Molecule: ribosomal RNA, 460 nt
Filed under: uncultured bacterium
Lineage: Bacteria
Description: partial 16S ribosomal RNA
Rfam family: Bacterial small subunit ribosomal RNA
Source: RNAcentral
CCUACGGGUGGCAGCAGUGAGGAAUAUUGGUCAAUGGGCGGAAGCCUGAACCAGCCAAGUAGCGUGCAGGAUGACGGCCCUACGGGUUGUAAACUGCUUUUAUACGGGAAUAACGCGCCUUACGUGUAGGGCUUUGCAUGUACCGUAUGAAUAAGGACCGGCUAAUUCCGUGCCAGCAGCCGCGGUAAUACGGAAGGUCCGGGCGUUAUCCGGAUUUAUUGGGGUUAAAGGGGGCGUAGGCCGCAUGUCAAGCGUGCUGUGAAAUGUCCGGGCUCAACCCGGGCCUUGCAGCGCGAACUGGCGUGCGUGAGUCCGGGGAAGGCAGGCGGAAUUCGGGGUGAAGCGGUGAAAGGCUUAGAUAUGACGAAGAACCCCAAUGGCGAAGGCAGCUUGCGGCAGCGGAACUGACGCUGAUGCUCGAAAGCGCGGGUAGCGAACAGGAUUAGAUACCCAAGUAGUC